GCCCAUAUAAGCCCAAACACCAAUCCAAACCCUACCAACCCCCUAACCCAAAACAUUUGCCCAAGCCAGUAGAUGCGAUCGAACCCCGCCCAAUCGACGCAAUAGAAAAGUACUGUGAAGGAAAGAUGAAAAACCAUUAAAUACAAGCCUAAAAAAGCAGAGAUCAACACCCGUACCUUUUGCAUUAUGGUCUAGCAAGCACCUAAGACAAAGUAAUACUACAGCCUACACCCCCGAACACAAGUGAUCUACUCUAUGGCAGUUGUACCGAACGAACUCGUCUCUGUAGCAAUAGAGUGAGAAGACCAAAAAGUAGUGGCCAAAAACCAAACGAACUUGUCGAUAGCUGGUUAUCCGAAAAAUGAAUAUUAGUUCACUCCUGCCAACAACAUAUCACCCGCUAUGAUAAAUAUUCCUGACAGGAAAUAGUCAAUGGGGGCACAGCUCCACUGACAUGGGAAACAGCCCAAAAUAGAGAGAACACCCUACUAUACCACCAGUAGGCCUUUAAACAGCCACCCAAAAAUAUCACGUCAUAGUAAUUAACCUAAAAUACCACCAAAAACAAAAACCUCCUACCCACCAAUCGGAUAAUUCUACAACCGUAGAAGAACUAAUGCUAGAACAAGUAACUUGAACCAUUUCUUAAGACAGACUCUUAAUACUCAACAGACCAAAAUAGGAACAAUGAUAUUUACCUACAACACAUUUAACCGACUGUAUACCCAACUAUAGGACUGUCAUACACCUAGGCUCAAAACCUUAAAAGGAACUCGGCAACCCCCUUCUCCAACUGUUUACCAAAAACAUAGCUUCUAGCUCAACAAGUAUUAGAAGUACCGCCUGCCCUGUGGAAUCCUAAACGGCCGCGGCAUUAAAACCGUGCAAAGGUAGCACAAUCACUUGUCCCUUAAAUGAGGACGCGUAUGAAAGGCAACAUGAGAGAAGACCUGUCUCCUAAGGACUGCCAAUGAAAUUGAACUACCAGUUCAAAAGCUGGUAUUAAAAAGCAAGACAAAAAGACCCUGUGGAGCUUUAAUUAACUGCUUUACACAAUAAAACCAGUAAUUUCAGUUGGGACAACUUUAGAAAAAAUAAACUUCCUAUCUACCAAGACUAACUAGUCCACAAACACAUCACGACCCAGUAACACUGAUUAACGAAACAAGCUACCCCAGGGAUAACAGCGCCACCUUCUCAAAGAGUUCAUAUCAACAAGAAGACCUACGACCUCGAUGUUGGAUCAGGGUACCCAGACGGUGUAGCAGCUGUCAACGGUUCGUUUGUUCAACGAUUAAUACCCUACGCGAUCUGAGUUCAGACCGGAGUAAUCCAGGUCGGCCUUUAUCUGCUACUAUCACCCCAACCAGUACGAAAGGACCGUUGAGACAAGACCAAUUAUCACAUCACGUCUUCUUAACAUAAUGAACUAAACUAAAAUAUAAUAUUCACCUCCAACCCAAGAUAAGGACUCACACCCGGCACUCCGGUGCUCA
Molecule: ribosomal RNA, 1496 nt
Filed under: Furcifer oustaleti (Oustalet's chamelion)
Lineage: Eukaryota; Metazoa; Chordata; Lepidosauria; Squamata; Chamaeleonidae
Description: 16S rRNA
Rfam family: Bacterial large subunit ribosomal RNA
Source: RNAcentral